CGGCUUUCUCUAAUACAGAGGGCUAAUGACGGUACCUGAAGAAUAAGCACCGGCUAACUACGUGCCAGCAGCCGCGGUAAUACGUAGGGUGCAAGCGUUAAUCGGAAUUACUGGGCGUAAAGCGUGCGCAGGCGGUUAUGCAAGACAGAUGUGAAAUCCCCGGGCUCAACCUGGGAACUGCAUUUGUGACUGCAUGGCUAGAGUACGGCAGAGGGGGAUGGAAUUCCGCGUGUAGCAGUGAAAUGCGUAGAUAUGCGGAGGAACACCGAUGGCGAAGGCAAUCCCCUGGGCCUGUACUGACGCUCAUGCACGAAAGCGUGGGGAGCAAACAGGAUUAGAUACCCUGGUAGUCCACGCCCUAAACGAUGUCAACUGGUUGUUGGGAGGGUUUCUUCUCAGUAACGUAGCUAACGCGUGAAGUUGACCGCCUGGGGAGUACGGCCGCAAGGUUGGAACUCAAAGGAAUUGACGGGGACCCGCACAAGCGGUGGAUGAUGUGGUUUAAUUCGAUGCAACGCGAAAAACCUUACCUACCCUUGACAUGUCUGGAAUCCUGAAGAGAUUUGGGAGUGCUCGAAAGAGAGCCAGAACACAGGUGCUGCAUGGCCGUCGUCAGCUCGUGUCGUGAGAUGUUGGGUUAAGUCCCGCAACGAGCGCAACCCUUGUCAUUAGUUGCUACGAAAGGGCACUCUAAUGAGACUGCCGGUGACAAACCGGAGGAAGGUGGGGAUGACGUCAGGUCAUCAUGGCCCUUAUGGGUAGGGCUACACACGUCAUACAAUGGCCGGGACAGAGGGCUGCCAACCCGCGAGGGGGAGCUAAUCCCAGAAAACCGGUCGUAGUCCGGAUCGUAGUCUGNCACUCGACUGCGUGAAGUCGGAAUCGCU
RNAcentral lists this ribosomal RNA (887 nucleotides) under uncultured bacterium. RNAcentral's name for it is "bacterial SSU rRNA". It matches the Rfam family "Bacterial small subunit ribosomal RNA", at positions 446 to 1336 of the family's 1533-position model. The record is from RNAcentral.